UCUGGAGACAGGUGCUGCAUGGCUGUCGUCAGCUCGUGUCGUGAGAUGUUGGGUUAAGUCCCGCAACGAGCGCAACCCUUGCCUUUAGUUGCCAGCAGUUCGGCUGGGCACUCUAAAGGGACUGCCGGUGUUAAACCGGAGGAAGGUGGGGAUGACGUCAAGUCCUCGUGGCCUUUAUGACCAGGGCUACACACGUACUACAAUGGCCGAUACAAAGGGCAGCGACACUGCGAGGUGAAGCCAAUCCCGUAAAAUCGGUCUCAGUCCGGAUUGGAGUCUGCAACUCGACUCCAUGAAGUUGGAAUCGCUAGUAAUCGUGGAUCAGCAUGCCACGGUGAAUACGUUCCCGGGCCUU
Molecule: ribosomal RNA, 355 nt
Filed under: uncultured Desulfobulbus sp.
Lineage: Bacteria; Pseudomonadati; Thermodesulfobacteriota; Desulfobulbia; Desulfobulbales; Desulfobulbaceae
Description: bacterial SSU rRNA
Rfam family: Bacterial small subunit ribosomal RNA
Source: RNAcentral